Molecule: non-coding RNA, 289 nt
Organism: Cinara cedri
Lineage: Eukaryota; Metazoa; Arthropoda; Insecta; Hemiptera; Aphididae
Source: the annotation of a GenBank genome assembly
UACGACCCUCGGGCACCGCGAGAAAUUCAUAAAAACCCCUCGCAUCUAUAUAAAUAUAUAUUGUACAAACAUUGUGUUAUCACCAACGUCUUUCUCUCUCUCCCCCUUUCUCUGAAACGGUCCAAAAAUAAAAGCUCAAUAAAAAUCUCACGGACAAGCUGGCGUAUGGUAGUAAAAACUCGUCGGGAUAAUAAAAGCGCGCGGGAUGAGAGAGGUGUUGUUGUAGGAGCGGCGCGGAACACAAAUUUGCGGCUGGCCGUCCGGGUUUAACAAAAAAAAAAAUACGUGU